UCCCAAUACGCGAGUGGAGUAGCUUCCCUUGAGCCAGUGUCGCGAGAACGUUGUGGUGGGAAUUGUGUGAGUUUUAUGUCGCAACACUCGUAAGCAGUGACUGUCAUUGGUCGGUAUUUGCCUUGGAUUUAUCCCGGACCAUAAGGUUCCGUAACACUGGCUGUCACUUCGGACCCCUGAGUGGGUCUGAGCCGGGAAGAUGACGACAGACAUAAGCGUAGGGGUCCGCUGGGACCCCAUCAAGCAGGAGGAGGUGAUCGAAGACUUCGACUACGAUGGUGGAAACUCUUCUUCGAGGCUUUUCGAACGAUCCAGGAUCAAGGCUUUGGCCGGUGAGUGG
This 340-nucleotide long non-coding RNA is filed under the name Penaeus japonicus. Its description in RNAcentral is "uncharacterized LOC122247196". The record is from RNAcentral. Lineage: Eukaryota; Metazoa; Arthropoda; Malacostraca; Decapoda; Penaeidae.